This 493-nucleotide ribosomal RNA is filed under the name uncultured bacterium. RNAcentral's name for it is "partial 16S ribosomal RNA". It matches the Rfam family "Bacterial small subunit ribosomal RNA", at positions 30 to 523 of the family's 1533-position model. The record is from RNAcentral.
AUUGAACGCUGGCGGCAUGCCUUACACAUGCAAGUCGAACGGUAACAGGUUAAGCUGACGAGUGGCGAACGGGUGAGUAAUGUAUCGGAACGUGCCCAGUCGUGGGGGAUAACGUAGCGAAAGCUACGCUAAUACCGCAUACGAUCUACGGAUGACAGCGGGGGAUCGCAAGACCUCGCGCGAUUGGAGCGGCCGAUAUCAGAUUAGGUUGUUGGUGAGGUAAAAGCUCACCAAGCCUGCGAUCUGUAGCUGGUCUGAGAGGACGACUAGCCACACUGGAACUGAGACACGGUCCAGACUCCUACGGGAGGCAGCAGUGGGGAAUUUUGGACAAUGGACGCAAGUCUGAUCCAGCAAUGCCGCGUGCAGGACGAAGGCCUUCGGGUUGUAAACUGCUUUUGUACGGAACGAAACGGUGAGCUCUAAUACAGUUUGCUAAUGACGGUACCGUAAGAAUAAGCACCGGCUAACUACGUGCCAGCAGCCGCAGUAA